Molecule: long non-coding RNA, 1781 nt
Filed under: Vulpes vulpes (red fox)
Lineage: Eukaryota; Metazoa; Chordata; Mammalia; Carnivora; Canidae
Description: lncRNA (ENSVVUG00000030212.1)
Source: RNAcentral
CGCGUCACCAUAUAUUUGUACACCAAGAGUGAACCCUAAUGUAAACUAUGGACUUUGGGUGAUAACGAAGUAUCAGGGUAGGCUCACUGAGUGUAACGAAUGUACCACCCUGGCAGGGGCAUGUUGAUAAUGGGGCAGGCUACACAUGGGUGGGGGGUGCUUUAAGGGAAACCUCUGCACUUUACUUUCAAUUUUGCUGUGAACCUAAAGUUGCUCUAAAAAAUAAAGUCCAAAAAAAAAAAAAACAACUCGGAGGAUCCGGUAUCUUUUUUCAGUUGUAUUGAUUAGGGCCAUUUUCAUCUUAAUUAACGUGGUGCUUUCACUGUGAGGAUUCCGAAGAAUGAAACAGCAACGUGGAAUGGUCUCACAAAAGCAAAUCUUACCAAGUAGUCAAAUAAAAUCACUCCCUAUGUGAAAAUACACGUUAGGCUGGAUAAUGUUGGAACCCCCUUCCCGGUGAAGAAAAACAGAACAAGUUUGAAAGAAUAGUAAACUUAAUUCUAAAGUGGAGAUUUUUAUUUUUUGCUGGAAUAAAAACACUUUAGGGGGGUAGUGGGUACAAGAAAAAGUGCCGCGACUCAAGUGUACAACCUGGGACAACUUCGCCUCCCUCCUUACCUGAACUAAAAGUAAUGUCACACAUGUUAAGGCUUAUAUUCUUAAGUCACACAGGCCCAACUACUUGGGGGAUUAGCUGUCACUUCAUAUCCUCUUCAAGAGUGGUGCUACCGACUAGGAAGGCCAAGGGCCGAAGAAAGUCACCUUGGCACCCACGCCUCAAAGGAGCAGUUUGGGUUUCUCAGGAGGUGCCACCUGGACAUCCUGGGAAUAUGGUUAUCCUGCGUUUUGACUUCUUUUGAGCACUUGAAGCCUACACUUAGGUGUAAGGGACAGAACCGUCUGAUGAAGACACAGGCCACCUGAUUUUCUCCUAGAAAGCAGGGCCCAAGUGGACUAUUUCAAACUGGCUACACAUCUCUGCAAUUUAAAAUUUUCCUACUGCUAUCUCUUCACGGAGUCUCAAAAGCAGUUUUCAGGCAAGGCAAACGUAUUCGAGAAAGUUCAGGCGCAGGGUGUUGUUCUGAGAUUUCCUUUUCUUGGGAAGGGAAAGGGGGUCGCGGAGCGUCUUUCUGACCACCAGGGGAAAGUCUUCCACAAAUGUCAUCCGGCUGGGGGCAACCUAUGGACUUUGGGAAGUCAGUUGGGACAGUCACGAGCCACCACCUCUGACCUCUCGGGACCUGCUCGACUGGAGCCCGGGAGGAGGACAGCGCGGGCUUCCCCGCGGGGCAGAGGCCGCCCCCUCCCGGCAGGGGAGCAGCGCCAGCGCCGUCGGACGUGCGGACCCGCCGGGGUCCCGGCAGCCGCAGCAGCGCCCCCGGGAGAGGCUCAGACCUCGCUUGGGGCAACCGGCAAAAUGCACCAAGAAGGUCGGAAUCACGGGUAAAUACAGGACCCGUUAUGGUGCCUCCCUCAGGAAAUGGUGAUGAAGAUUGAAAUAAGCCAGCGUGACAAGUACACUUGCUCCUUCUGUGGCAAAACCAAGAUGAAAGAUGAGCUGUCGGCAUCUGGCAUGAAAACCAUAGCUGGUGGCACCUGCUAUGGUUACAUAUCCACAACCUGCAAUGGUUACAUACCUGCAACUACACCACCAUUUCUGCCCUCACAUUGAAGUCUGCCAUCAGAAGACUGGAGGAGAUGAAAGACCAGUAGAAGCUCCACCAUUUGAAACAUUGCUAGUCUAUAAUAAAUGGGUUAAUUUAUGUAAUUAAAAAAAAAGA